Magallana angulata is the source of this 945-nucleotide long non-coding RNA. RefSeq lists it as uncharacterized. NCBI's taxonomy places the organism in Eukaryota, Metazoa, Mollusca, Bivalvia, Ostreida, Ostreidae. The record is from RefSeq and is a predicted model, not a curated record. The transcript is spliced from 7 exons.
GAAGUUUCUAAGAAGUUUAUCAUUCGUGCUUUUGAGGAUUCUCCUAUACUUUAGAAACUCCUUGACAGUUGGGUCAUCACUUGGCAGAAGUGCUGCAACCAUGGAGACAGUUGAGUCUGAAUCUAAUGAGGCCACGUCUGUUUUCUGCAGCUUUGAUCCCAUCAUGCUCUCUGAUUCUGAGAACUUAAGAAAAUGAAAGCUUUGAGUGUGUCUUGAAUUGAUGCCACAACGCCUACUGGUUCCUGCUCAUCUGAUGCAUCUUUCUCUUGUUUCUGGUUUUUUGUGCCUGUUGGUUCAUCUUGAAUCAAAUCUAAGAAGUGAUUGAUGGAUCAAUGGGAGAAAAGCAUUAAAUAAAAUAUCAUGAAUGCAACUCCCACUGACAACAGUAGAUGGUAUUUAGGCAGUAGAUAGUGGUAAUAACAUGUACAAUCAAAUGCCAAGCCAAAUGGGAUAUUUCAAUUUAAAAAAUACCUGGUUCCAAAACUGGCUCUACUUGAGGAACUUGAACUGAAUCUUCACCUGCUUCCAAAACUGGCUCUACUCGAGGAACUUCUUCACCUGCUUCCAAAACUGACUCUACUCGAGGAACUUGGACUGAAUCUUCUCCUGUUCUCUGUGAUACCUGGUACCAAAACUGGCUCUACUUGAGGAACUUGAACUGAAUCUUCACCUGCUUCCAAAACUGGCUCUACUCAAGGAACUUCUUCACCUGCUUCCAAAACUGGCUCUACUCGAGGAACUUCUUCACCUGCUUCCAAAACUGGCUCUACUCGAGGAACUUCUUCACCUGCUUCCAAAACUGGCUCUACUCGAGGAACUUGGACUGAAUCUUCUCCUGUUCUCUGUGAGCGGCAGAAUCAGUUCCGAUGCUUUGCAGUCCUGGACACACUUCCUCCAGUCCUCUGCCAGGAGCAUUUGUAGGUCCUUGUUAGACGAGGAGCGAAA